GGGCCUGCCACACACUGCUCUGGCGAGGCAUCCCACCCGGGCAAAUGCCUACCCAGGAGCGCUCUCAGGAUCUGCGUCACUUGGGCUGGUCGAAGUCCCCCACAGGGAUGUUCCACAGGGCAGGCUUAAGCCGCCUAAGGAGCUGUCUCGACCAUCUGCCAAUCACCUUGCUUCCCGAUCAGGCCAGGCAUGGUGGCUUAUGCCUGUAAUCCUAGCACUUUGGGAGGCUGAGGUGGGAGGAUCCUUCAAAGCCAGGAGUUCAAGACCAGCCUGGGUAAGGGUAACAAAGCGAGAUGCCAGCUCUACAAAAAAGAAAACAAGAAUUUGAGAGCACCUUGCAGAUUUCAUCGGGAAGUUGAGUCCAUAUCCUCUCCCCAUGAAUGUGGGCAAUUUGUGGCUGUUUCAACGAACAGACUACAGAAUAAGUGAUGCUGUGUGACUUCUAUGGUUGUGUCAUGAAAAGCUAUUCAGUUUCUGCCUAAGUCUCUUGGAACAUGCUUGCUCUUGGGAUACUUCCUGUUAGAACCCAGCCACCAGCUUGUGAACCCAAGCCACUUGAAGAGGCCAUCUUUAGGUGCUCAGGUCAACAAUCCCAACUAAGCCCAGCUUUUGAGUCAUCCUAGCCCAGAUGCUACACAUGUGAAUGAAGGAGACUCCAGAUGAUUCCGGUCAUUUGAGUCCUUCCAGCUGAUACCCUGCUGUGCCCAGUCCAAAUUCCUGUUGCAUAGAAUCUAUGAGCCAAAUAAAAUUGUUGUUGUUUUAUGCCACCAAGUUUGGGGUGGCAUAGAUAUUGAAA
Long non-coding RNA from Pan troglodytes (chimpanzee), 796 nucleotides. RefSeq lists it as uncharacterized. Lineage: Eukaryota; Metazoa; Chordata; Mammalia; Primates; Hominidae. The record is from RefSeq and is a predicted model, not a curated record. The transcript has 3 exons.